Halichondria panicea is the source of this 1030-nucleotide long non-coding RNA. RefSeq lists it as uncharacterized. NCBI's taxonomy places the organism in Eukaryota, Metazoa, Porifera, Demospongiae, Suberitida, Halichondriidae. The transcript has 3 exons. The record is from RefSeq and is a predicted model, not a curated record.
ACUGUUUAAUUGAGUUGUCUGGUUUCUUCCAGAACCUAGUGACGUCCCACAAAACGUCACAAUUUCUGCUUUGAGUCCUACUAGUGCUCUUAUGUCUUGGUUCCCACCACCAAUGGAACAUCAAAAUGGAAUCAUCAUUGGCUUUAUUGUCCAUGUGUCUGGUGUGAAUACUGAAGAAGUGAUAGAACGGACUGUGACCCAGUUUAGCAAUGAAGUUUUUGAGCUACAUCCGUUUUAUUCGUACAGAUUCUCUGUUGCUGCAGAAACUAUUGCUCCUGGGCCAUUCAGUAAUCCAAUCACAUUGCAACUACCAGAGUCAGCUCCGUCAGCCGCUGUUGAAAAUCUCACCCUGGCAAAUGCACUGGCUACUUCAGUUACUAUAGGAUGGUACCCUGCAAGCCCUUACCAUUGGAAUGGCACUCGCACAGUAUGUUAUUGAAUACCAACUUAUCAGAUCUAUUGAUGAGCAUUCGAGCUCAAAAGUUGUCGAGCCAGUUCUAAGCCAGUCUAUCCCAUCAAUUGGGCAGCCAUUGGCUAACGAACAAAACCCAAUCAGAGUCAAUUCUCCCCUGCUUAUGGAGACGGCACAACUUGAUGGACUUGAGGAAUAUUUCGUCUAUUCAGUAUCAAUAUACUUUGAAACAAGUGCUGGAAGAAGCCUCAGCAGUUCGUUCAUCAUGAUUGAAACGUUACCAUCAGCUCCAAGUGGUCCUCCUACUUUGGUAAAGGCAGUGGCGUCCUCUAUAUCAGUGAGAAUUGAGUGGAUGCCUCCUUAUGCAAGGAGUAGAAAUGGUGUAAUAGCAGGCUACACUGUCGACUUGACAAAUCUUGAAACUAUGGAACAGCUAACAUAUACACUGUAAAAACAAACGUGUUAUUUUAACCCGUGGUAGCGUGUCGUUCGAAUGUCUCCUAAAAUAGCACACUAUACAUACGUGUUACUUGAUAUCAAUGUUAAAACAGCACCCGUGUCAUUGAUUUUUGUGUUAAACCAGCACGUAUGUAGCAUGCAAUAAAUUAUUAAUAGUGA